GGCCCAAAUUUGAAGUAGAGUAAAUUAGUAGGAUCAGUUGACCAUACUUAGCAACUUUACCUCAAGUUUGUGCCC
Molecule: non-coding RNA, 75 nt
Organism: Haemonchus contortus (barber pole worm)
Lineage: Eukaryota; Metazoa; Nematoda; Chromadorea; Rhabditida; Trichostrongylidae
Source: Rfam